This is a long non-coding RNA of Chelonia mydas (Green sea turtle), 3467 nucleotides long. RefSeq lists it as uncharacterized. NCBI's taxonomy places the organism in Eukaryota, Metazoa, Chordata, Testudines, Cheloniidae. The transcript is spliced from 3 exons. The record is from RefSeq and is a predicted model, not a curated record.
GCGCAGAGCGGCGCUGACGGCAGGGCGGGGGCCGGCAAAGAAUGAGGGGGCGCGGCCCCCUGCCCGCGCCGGCUGCCGGGGGUCCCGCCUGGGCCCGAGCCCUGGCAGCGCUUCGGCGGACGGGCCUUGCGCUCCCGGGCCAGCCGGGGGAGUUCGGGGUCCGGUGCGGGUCGGGAGCGGAGGGGUUAAUUCCCCCCCCCACCCCUGAUCCGAAGGGGGCAGUUCACACCCUGGGGCGGAGCCGAGGUUCGGGGGCUGGGGGAGCUGGCAAGGCCCCUGGGGUCGGAUAAGCGCGGUUGGGAGUGACUCAGGGCCCGCACGGAGCAGCCUCCUAUGAGCAAAGCUUGUGCUUCUGAAACGUGCCAGAUAGACUGUGUCUGAGUGCCCUUCUCCUAGGUUUCCCCACAAAGCAGUCCUCAUGCACUGUGAUGCAAUUAGUGGAUUCACAGAAUAUGGCUGAGCUGCAAACAACAAAUUGAUACUGAAAUGGUACAAGUUUAAUGCCUGAUGAGGGCCCCUGACGUGGGAAAAGAUUGUGGGAAAAGUGGGGGUGCUGACAAGAAAUGGGGACUGUCCAAGGUAGCUAGGGAGAGGAUGCACUGAUUCAGCACAUACCCUCAUCAGCCUCUUUUGGUGUGGCUUCUGCAGAGAAGCUUCAUACACUAACUCAAGCCAUGUCUACUCUACAAACUUUGGCCCUGUCUACACUGGCAAGUUUGUGCACAGUAAAGCAGCUUUCGGCGCUAUAACUCCCAAGGUGUACAUACUGCCAAGCCACCUAGUGUGCAGAAACUGCUCAGUGGUAGCGCUUUUAAAAAAAACCCACCCCACCAAGAGGCGUACAGCUUUCUACACUGGGGCGCCAGUGUAGACACCGUGGCGAUUACAGCGCUGCAAUUGGUCUCCGGGAGGUGUCCCACAGUGCCUGUUUUCACCUCUCUGGUCAUUGCUUUGAACUCUACUGCCGUGCCCUCAGGUGACCAACCAUCAUACCCACCCCAUAAAUUCCUUUAGAAAUUUGAAAGUCCCCUUCCUGUUUGCUCGGUGAUGCGUGCAGUGGUCUCAGCGCAUCUUUCCAGGUGGCCAGGCCUGCUCCACGCACCAGGCGAUCCCCCGCUUGGAGCAAUGCUGAGCUGCUAGACCUCACCAGCAUCUGGGGAGAGGAGGCUGUCCAGUCCCAACUGUGCUCCAGCUGUAGGAAUUAUAGUAUCUACAGACAGAUUUCACAAUGCAUGACAGAAAGGGGCAUGACCGGGACACAUUGUAGUGCAGGGUCAAAGUGAAGGAGCUACGGAAUACCUACCACAAGGCCCGGGAGGCAAACCGCCACUCCGGUGCUGUGCCCACCAGCUGCCAGUUCUAGUAUGGCUUCAUAAGCCAUGGCAUUAAGGGGUAGGUGGGGUCUCCCAGGAUCACAAUGGGCAUUUUGACUUCCCCUACAGUGAUCUUCUGGUCCAGGAAGAAAGACCCUGCUGGCAGCUUCCUGAACAGGCCAGUGUUUUGAAAGAUGUGUGCGUCAUGCACCUUUCCCGACCAGCCUGCGUUAAUGUCUGUGAAACGCCCACAGUGAUAUACAAGAGCCUGGAAAACCAUUCAGAAAUACCCCUUGCAAUUAAUGUAUUUGGUGGCUAGGUGGUCUGGUGCCAGAAUUGGAACAUGUGUGCCAUCUAUCACCCCUCCGCAGUUAGGGAAGCCAAUUUGUGCAAAGCCAGCCACAAUGUCAUGCACGUUGCCAAGAGUCAUGGUCUUUUGGAGCAGGAUGCGAUUAAUAGCCCUGUACACUUCCAUUAACACGAGUCCAACAGUUGACUUUCCCACUCCAAACUGGUUAGCAACCGAUCAGUAGCAGUCCGAAGUAGCCAGCUUCCACAGUGCAAUCACCAUGUGCUUCUCCAGUGACAGGGCAGCUCUCAUUCUCGUGUCCUUGCGCUGCAGGGCUGGGGCGAGCUCAUCACACAGUCCCAGGAAUGUGGCUCUCCUCAUCCGAAAGUUCUGCAGCCACUGCUCGUCAUCCCAGAUGUGCACAACAAUGUGAUCCCACCACUCAGUGCUUGUUUCCCGAGCCCAAAAGCGGCAUUCCACUGUGGUCAGCACCUCCAUGAAUGCCACAAACAAUCUCGUGUCAGAGCUACUACACGUGGCGAGAUCAAUGUCACAUUCCUCUUUCCUUUGUAGUUUAAGGAAUAACUCCACUGCCACUCGUGACAUGCUGGUCAGAGCAAGCAGCAUACUGAUCAACAGUUUGGGAUCCAUUCCCUCAGUCCGAAGGAAUGCGGCAUGGCGCGCAAUACGCAAACCGUUGAAAGAUGGCAUCAAAUGCAGACAGAAGCACGGGGAUUUCUGGGAUGCGAAGCAAUGCAUCAUGGGGCAUUGGGACAGGACCCAGGAUUCCCCGCGACCCCCCCUCCGCCUUCCCACAAGUCUUAGCGGCAGAAGAGAAAAAGGUGCUCUGUGGAAUAGCUGCCCAGAGUGCACCGCUCCAAAUACCGUUGCAGGUGCCGCAAGUGUGAACAAGCUAUUGCACAUUCAGCUGUCAGUGUGGACAUACAACAGCAGUUUCCCUUCAGCGCUCUCUGAGUGGUGCUGUAACUGCCGGUGCUGUAACUUUGCCAGUGUAGACGUGCCCUUUGAUUGAAGCAGGUAUCCGUGUACAGCUGCUCUCCUCGGGGAAUUUCUUUUUCUUAUGGUGUAUCCCACUGCAGCACAAAAGGCUUUGCCAGUGCUGGAAGAUAAAAGUACAGUACAUUUCUCUGAACUAACUUCAGCUAUUCAGGCCCAAAUUGCAACAGCUUUUAGCCUGUAGGUUAAUUUCAGUUGUUUUGGUUAAGCCAGUAUAAGGUUCUGUGACAGGGUGCAUAGUGAGUCCUCAGUGUGCAAAGGGUUAAUUCCAGCAACACUUUCCCUUCACCUUGCCUCAGGUGCUCAGGGGAAGGUAUAUAAAAGAGUUCCUGUUUGAAAGAUAGAAUAUGGAGAAUGCUUUUAGGAAAAUUAAGCUCUGGGGCAAGGUCAUUUAGGACUAAGUUAAACCCUAGCCUGGGACAUUUUCUGUUUUUUUGGAGAGGUUAAAAAUAUUGUUAGCUCAUUUUGAUUUCUUGUUAUAAACAUUAUUUUUACUGAAGAUACUUUGCUGAUUUGAUUGUAUUUGUUUCCCGCUGAGUCAUUCCCCAGGCUUCUGUUGAUAUAUUAGAAAGUUGUUGGUUUUUUUCCAAUAAAAGUUAUUUAAAAGAAAGAAAAAAAAUUCCCCUUUUUGUCUCUGACUGUAUCAGGUUGGCAGGAUAAUCUUAAAGGCGGUUGAAGAAAUGACAGGAUAGAGUAAAAAGUUGGAAGGAAAGAUUUGGCAAACACAUUCAUGGGCUGUUCAAAUGAAUGAAGUAGUCCCACAAGCUAAGACCAUGUCUACAUUUACAAGCUUGCCAAGACAUAGCUGUAUCGGUACAGCUGUACCACUGUAAGAUCACUCGUGUAGC